This 1057-nucleotide long non-coding RNA is filed under the name Equus caballus (horse). RNAcentral's name for it is "lncRNA (ENSECAG00000048975.1)". The record is from RNAcentral. Lineage: Eukaryota; Metazoa; Chordata; Mammalia; Perissodactyla; Equidae.
AUUUGUUUUGCCCAUUUCAGCCAUACAAUCCUCUUCAUUUAACUGAGAAUUCAAAAUUAUAAGGUUAUCUCCUUUUCCCAAUAUUAAUCUCACUAUUAUUGUUGAUGCGGGGUCAGUGAGCCGAGGAAUCAGAAGAAAGAUUUCUUGGACUCUCAAGGUCUGGCAGUAGUGCUCUUUUAUUCAGAGAAUAGUGUAGAAUAGCAUGAGGACAGGACCCAUGGGCAGUAAAGAGCUGCUGCUGGCAUGGGGACAGGAUCCAUGGGCAGUUAAGAGCUGCUGCAGGCAUGGGGACAGGACCCAUGGGCAGUUAAGAGCUGUUGUAUGGGGACAGGACCCAUGGGCAGUAAGAGCUGCUGCAAACAUGUGUUGAGGGUAGGGCUAAAUUUAAGGCACACAAGACAAAGGAAAGAUUAUGUAAAAAAGUCAUUAAAAUGGUAUCAGUGCAGGUGGGGUCUGGUUAUUGGGUGGUCCUAUAACUUUAGAUAAGAAUCAGACCAAAUUAAGUCAGGAUGUCCUAUGCUUCCCAGAGGAUGUUGGUGGAGGGGGGAGUCAGCUACAUGAGGUUACCAGACAAGCACAAUAAACAAGACUUAAGUCCUUGUCAUCCCCAUUAAGAAUUUCUAGAGAUAAGGUCAUACCCCCUUCCUCCUGGUGCGGAGAGGGAGACACCUUUACAGAUGGAGAUUGCCUUUACAACGUAAAUGUUUCUUAACAAACGGUAAGUAAAUUCUACUCCUCAGAGCCUCCUUCCCAUCUGCAGUUUUUUUAAAACUAACUAGCCUAAAAUAAUCCUCAUCGUCACCCUACUUUAUUAUUAUCUAUAUUAACAUUUUGACACUUCGAAUACUCAGUUCUGCAACCCUACUUUGUAAUUUUGAAUUGUUAUGCUUCCUCUUUGUUAAUUUAACAACUCAAUAGCUUUCCUUAACAUUUUUUUGAGUUUAUGAGCUUAUUAAUUGGCUGCUUAAGAAUGUUACUCUAAGGAUUAUUCAUGCAAAUUUGUUAGUACAAAAAAUAAUUCAAAUUAUUAAAACUAUGAAAUUUGAUCAAGAAGCAC